UACGUAGGGUGCAAGCGUUAAUCGGAAUUACUGGGCGUAAAGCGUGCGCAGGCGGUUGUGCAAGACAGAUGUGAAAUCCCCGGGCUCAACCUGGGAACUGCAUUUGUGACUGCACAGCUUGAGUGCGGCAGAGGGGGAUGGAAUUCCGCGUGUAGCAGUGAAGUGCGUAGAUAUGCGGAGGAACACCGAUGGCGAAGGCAAUCCCCUGGGCCUGCACUGACGCUCAUGCACGAAAGCGUGGGGAGCAAACAGG
This 253-nucleotide ribosomal RNA is filed under the name uncultured bacterium. RNAcentral's name for it is "partial 16S ribosomal RNA". It matches the Rfam family "Bacterial small subunit ribosomal RNA", at positions 524 to 776 of the family's 1533-position model. The record is from RNAcentral.